AAGAAACGUUUAUGCCCUUUGGCAGGGAAAGAUAUCAGAGUCGGGGCCAAGAGAUUCACUAUAUUUACAGUGGAUAAUUGCUCUUUCUUUUGUAGUCCCAAAAUACCUCUAUUGUUUCCAUUUUGCAGGGGAUGAAUUGAGGCUGGAGGUCUAAACAACUUGCUCAAGGAUGCACAGCUUCCCCUCUGUAUGUGAUUCCACCUGCGUGAACCGGUGUGCUCGUGAUUCCUGGAUACUGGUAUUGUAAGAGGACUGCAUUAUGUACCAUCCAAGACUGCAACAGGAAUAAAGCUCUUCUUGGAACAA
Molecule: long non-coding RNA, 306 nt
Organism: Podarcis raffonei (Aeolian wall lizard)
Lineage: Eukaryota; Metazoa; Chordata; Lepidosauria; Squamata; Lacertidae
Exons: 2
Source: RefSeq, a predicted model, not a curated record